RNAcentral lists this long non-coding RNA (6179 nucleotides) under Nicotiana benthamiana. Its description in RNAcentral is "long non-coding RNA (NBEN_LNC018910)". The record is from RNAcentral. Lineage: Eukaryota; Viridiplantae; Streptophyta; Magnoliopsida; Solanales; Solanaceae.
CCGCUGGCCCAAAUCCCAUUUACCUGAUAUCGCUUCCCCUUAGACACGAAAAGGUCCUGUCUCAUGCCCCUUUUUUCGAAUCCCUUAUUCACUUCUCACCUUCUAAAAAACGAAAAGAUAGAAGCUAUCAUCCCUCAUUCUGAGAACGGAUCAGAAACCAAGGUUUGAAGAACAAAACAAAUAAAGAAUGGAUAGAAAAAGGAGUUCCGGAAUUGCUUAGAGUUGGUGGCUGUUGAUUUCAGUGUUUUCUUCAAUUUAUUCUUUGGGAUCUCCGGAUAUCGUUUCUGUACCAAAACGCUGUUGAUUUUGAUUUGCUGAGAUGCUAUUCGAUUUCUGGCUCCUUGCUUUCUCCCUUUUCAAAUUUAUGCUAGAGAAAGUAGGUAUGUUCCUUUUCACCCCUGUAUUUGAGCUUUGGUUUCAGAUGAAGUCACAAUUGAAGUCUAAGAAGGAUUUUUAUUGAAUUGGUAUAACAUUCUGUGUGCUCAUAAUCUUUAAAUUAAAGAAGUUUAACUCCAAUAUCUUAGUUUCCCGUGGGUUUUUAGUAGUUGAAGUACUAGUUGGAAUUUGUGACUGCAUUAAUUGGAUGUUCAUUAAAGUUAAUUUUUCUAUGAAAUUAUUUGUUCAACCAUCAAAUUCCUGAGUCGUUGAUUGAAUAGGACUGUUUUGUAUACUGCCUCCCUAGGUAUUAUUGUGGGUUCAUAUUGAGAAGGACUGGUGUUUGCUUGCUUGAAUGAUUAUUAUGCAAUAAAAUGACGUCCAUAUAUGUGUGCUUGCAACCAUGCCUAAUGUUGAUGAUAAGCAAAUUCAAAAGUAAAGUGAGAAAUGGGUAUGACAGUAGACGUGUCGAUUUUGGAAUUGGUCACCAUUUUUAGCCUUUUUUUUGUAUGUCUGUUUCUUUCUGUUUUUGAUUUUUGAGAACAAAUCAAAGAAAACUUAACGUGAUUUUUAAGACUCUAAAUUCAGUUCUUGGUGUAGCAUUCUCUUGAAGUCACUGGUAAUGGACAUUUUGUUUUGGUAAUAAAUUUUCCUAAACAUUAAAGCAAUAGCUGUAAACUUUUACUGUUGUAUAGUUCCAUUACUCAUGAUAUGGCUAUCAGUAGGUGUCGUUGUUUUGUUGUUAGAUAUCUUUUAAUAAAUCAAAUUCGAAUGUCAAAGUUAGAGUCACUAAAUGACAUCUGCGAGCCAAGCAGUUUAGGAAAGCAAUUUAUAAACAUUGUAGUUUGCUUUAGUUGAGUAAAACCUUUCGAAAUAAAUUGAGACGUGCCAUGACGAAUAAAAUCCCAAAAAACCCAUGGCCCUCAUUUAAUUAAUUUAAAUUCUUUAGAAUCCGGGAUGAGCCGUUUAGCGAAUUUCACGGCCUUUCCCAAAUAACAUGGCGCUAGACUCUUUAGGCGCAAUUUAAUCAAAUCACUUUCUUAAACUCGGGUGCGCAUUGAUGCGACCCAAAUCCAAGUCUCGACGAAGUCGAAUUGUGUGGACGACCACGGGUGCCUUGAUGGCGACGAGGUUAGAAACACGUUUUCAUGACGUCGUAAUUCUUAUAAAACAAAUAACGAUAAAAAAUGAUUCAAAAAUGGAGAUGAGCCUCAUAGAACAAGAAUAAAUGUGGGGCCCUCAAUAAUUGGUUGUUAAAAAUGAUUAGAAUUUGGAAGGGCCAUUUAGCAAAUUUCAAUGGCCUUUCCCAAAACAAUAUUACGCUAGAACCUUUAAGUGCGAUUUAAUUAAAUUACUUCCUUAAACUCGGGUGCGGAUUGAUGUGACCCAAAUCCAAAUUUCGACGAAGUCGAAACGUGUUGACGACAAUGGGUGGCUUGAUGGCGACGUGGUCAGAGACGCAUUUUCACGACGUCGCAAGUCUUUUAAAACAAAUAAUAGUAAAAGCGGUAUACGAAUAAAAGGCACAUAAGCUAGCAUGUAUUAAAAUCGGAUAAAAUCAAAUACGACAGUUGAGCGACCGUGCUAGAACCACGGAACUCGGGAACGCCUAACACCUUCUCCCGGGUUAACAUAAUUCCUUAUCCGGAUUUCUGGUUCGCGGACUGUUAACAGAGUCAUGAUCUUCCUCGAUUCGGGAUUCAAAUCAGUGACUUGGGACACCAUUAAUUUCCCAAGUGGCAACUCUGAAUAAUUAAUAAACUAAAUCCCGUUUCGAUUGUCCUUUAACUGGAAAAACUCCUUUACGCUCCUUUGCGGGGUGUAUAGUCCUACUGGAGAACAGAGACAUACAAUUUAAGGUUCAGCAAUCAGGAGCCCGCCUGAAGGACAGAUGUGAUAAAAUUCAUUUUUAGUUUUCAAUCUUCUUUGUCUAGUUUGAAGUCAGGAGUGCGCAUGGAGAACAAAGACAUACAAUUUAAGGUUCAGCAAUCAGGAGCCCGCCUGAAGAACAGAGGUGAUACAAUUCAUUUUUAGUUUUCAAUCUUCUUUGUCUAUUUUGAAGUCAGAAGUCUGCCCGGGGAAUAGAGACAUGCAUUUCGAAUUUUAGUAGUCAGGAGUUCGCCUGGAGAACAGAGACAUGCAUUUCGAAUUUUAGUAGUCAGGAGUCCGCCUGGAGAAUAGAGACAUUUGUUUCAAAUUUCAGUGGUCAGGAGUCCGCCUGGAGAACAGAGAAUACAAUUCAAUUUUCAGCAAUCAGGAGCCCGCCUGAAGAACACAGGCGAUACAAUUCAAAUUUUAGUUUGCAAUCGAUUUCUUUGUCGUUUUGAGGUCAGGAGCCCGCCUGGAUUGCAGACGAAUACAUUCAAGUUCAUGUUCAGCAGUCAGGAGCCCGCCUAUAUAAUAGAGGAAUACUUUCAAGUUCAAGUUCAACAGUCAGGAAUCCGCCUGGAUAACAGAGAUUCAAUUUCAAGUCUAGCAAUCAGGAGUCCGCCUGGAUAACAGAGGAAUAAAUUCAAGUUCAAGACUAUUCAAUUUCAGCAAUUUGGAGAGAAAUGACAAUAUUGCAGUCAGCAAGUUGAAGUAACAACGAUGGAUUUCACCAAGAGAAUACAAGGCAACAAGACAACAAGGAAGUAUACGAACAAAUUUGAAGAAUUUAGAUAGGAAUUUUGUAAUUCGUAGUUCAUAGCUUAGGCUAGUUUCAUUUAUGUUUGAUUGGUGUAAUAAGGAAGGUCAGCGAGCAGUAGCAGCAACAAUCGUAGUGAAAUCACACCUCCUGGUAGUCCCAGCUACCAGACAUUCCCGAACUACACUGACCUAAUUCCUGUUUAGCCCAGGAUAUGUAUGCAGCCUCUGAAGCAGUUUGCGGUCAAGCUUUUCAAAAAUGCUUCAAACAGAAUUUUCAAACGGGCAAAAAUCGCUCAUAUUUGCUCACUUGUCUUUGCUUGAAAACAUUUCAUGUUUCCAAGGAAAGAGGGGCAGCUGUGAGCACGUGAAUUUUGCCCUAUAUAUAUGAAUUAUUCCCAUAAUAUUCUAACAAAAAUAUUUUUCCUUAUUUUUACAAUUUUUGUAAAUUUUGUGUUAAUCGUUUACAUUUUAUUUGUGCAUGUUAAUAUAUAUGAAAAUACAAAAACAUGCAUUUGCAUUUAGGAUUUAAAUUCAUAUUUUAGUAUUAAUUAUAGGUUAAUUUAUUUUAGAACAAAACAUGAAAAAUCACAAAAUUAGUUAACUUCUGCAUUUUAAUUAUUUUUUUUUUUGUGAAUUUAUCAUGAAAUAGUUUUUAAACAAUUUUUGGAAUUAAUUAGUCUUUGCUUUGAAAUGUAUUAGGAUUUUAUGUUAAUUUUGCAUCUUUAUAAAAAUUAGAAAAAAAAUUAAAAAAAAAAGAGAGAAAAGGGAAAUGAAAGAGAAGAAAAUAAGAGUUAAAAAGGUGAUCUGAAUAAAGACCAAAAAUUUGGGCUGAACAAAUUGUAAUUCGUUGGCCCACGAUUGAUCAACCAUUUCAGGCCCAUUUACUAUGCCCAACCCAGUCUGAACCGUCGAGGUUCUUUUGAUCAAACGGCUCAGAGGCGGGGUAGGCGUACUAUAAGAGUGUCCGAACGCCCCCCCCCUCCCCCCGAGUUCCUUGUCUUCCUCACCCUACCUCUCCUCUCAAAUCCUAAUCCAAGCCGCCACAAACCCCACCGCCUAAGGUGGCGGCGCCUAUGCAAACCAUAACCAAACAUACACCCCUCACUCUCCUAACUCUCCUCUUUCCAACCAUACUAGCGGUUUCCCUCGAACCAAACCCAGGCUCCUCGAAUAUGCAUUUGAAAUUCGGGUUCAAAACACAAAAUCGUCCAAAUGAUCCCAAAUUGAUACCAGAUAGUCUCCGGCAUUUCCUCAUCUCGAAUCUUUGGUCAAAACCCUUCAAAUCUCACUGGAGCUCAACGAAUCUCAAAUCUAGGAUUUUCAAGUGUGUCUGCCAUUUGAAGCUUCGUUAUCGGGUGAAUUUUAUUAAUAUUAUGAGUUUAUGUUGACAAAGAUAAAAUUGUAAUAUUAUUUAUAUAUCGUUCCAGAAAUCAUUUAAGUUUGGAUUAAUACAUAUGUCAUUCUUUCAUUUUUUUAGUAUUCGAUUUAGUUUGUCAUGUCAAGCAUGGCUCUAAUUUCUGAAUGUUUAAUUAGUAAUUUCUUUGUGAUAUAAUUCUGUCGACUAGAUGUUUAGUGAUACAUGUUUCUAUUAGUUCUUAGUUUUAAUUUCCAUUCUUGUUUGUUCAGCUUGUUUUGUUUUGUUUAAUUUAGUUAGUCAACCAUUAGUAUAAUUGAUUAGGUGUUAACUCAUUUUGGAUUAGUUAAAUAAUUAUUUUUAGUCAAAUAUUUUGUUCAAAAUUUUUUUCUGCUUGGUCUUCCUGUUACUUUAAUUCCGUGAUAAAUUAGGUUAAUCAAUUAUAAGAUUUAAUUAGCUUAAUUGGUGGUUCAGUAUAGUGGAUGUUGUACUAGAGUCUUUAUGAUUUGGUUUGGAUAUAGCUGAGUAGAUCAUUUAUUAAUUAAAUUUAGUUAAAUGCUAGCUAGGGUGAGGGGAUUGGGAUCAAUUAAUCUUAGUAUGUAAAUUUUGGACAAUUGGAAGGGCAUUUUAGGCAUAGAAAAGCGUAGUUUCUUUAGGAAUAGUAAUUUCAAAGCAGGGGUAAGGGUAGUAUAGCUAUUUUGGGGGUAGAAGAGCAUCUUAGGGCUUUAUAGAAGGGUACUUUAGUGUAGAUAUUAGCACAAUAAAGGUAUUUACUUGUUGAGCAGGUCAAAAAUAAAGGGACCAAACUGAAAAUAGAAAAGGACUAAAAAAGAAAUCAAAUAAUCUAAUUUACCCCCGUCUUGUUGGCUAUAAAAGGGCAUAAAAUGCCUUGGGAAAAAGGUCUUCAAUUUUUCAGCCCAAAAAAAUCCCACCAAAAAGCUUUUCUUCUUUUACUAAAAUUCAGAUUAGCAAUCUGAAUUCGAAAUAGAAAAUACAUAAAAAAUUAAGAACAGAAAACCAAAAAAAAAAUCACUGUUUCAUAGCAUUUUCAGUCGACCUUCAAUUUCUGCCUUUGUGUUUUUCAGUUCUAUUCUAUAUUUGAGUGUUUGGGCAGCAUCAGGGGAAUUUGAGUUUGUUUGGUUAAAGCAUUGGUCGUCUAAACUCAACAGCUGAAGAAAUCUGCUAGUUUUUGGUAUAAUUUCAACAAUACUCGAGUGUGUUCCAACAGUUUGUGGUAGUUUGCUUGGUUGUGGCCUGAUUUCAAAGCUAUUCAUGGUUGUUUGAGCUAAGAUCUAGUUGUUGAUUUCUGUUCGUGUGGGCUGAUGCUAACUGACUUUGCUUCUUCUUAAUUCUGAAAUUCCACAUUCGCAACUACAGUGAUGUAACCACACUCUGACUGAAAUGCCAUUGUAUUGAUUAAUCUGUGUUCGUCUAGUAAAGUAUAUGAUGGUAAUUAUUCAGUUGAUGAGUAGUAAUGUACAUUUGACCUGUUGGAUUGGAUUUAUAAAUAGGACUAUUAAGUAGACUGAUUUAAUUGUAUUAAUUUGAGCCCUGAACUUGAGUUGAUUAGUUUGUUAACUUUGAGUGUUGGAGCUUCAGAAAGUACAAUUGAACUUUUAGCUAAGGAUUAAUUGUUGGGGGAAUUCAUACACGCUAUUCUGUUUGGAUCUCAGUGUAGAAGUGGCUCUGAUAACAUUAAAUUGAAUCUGUUUUGGAAUAUUUGCUCAUCUAAGAAUGCAUAUCAUCAAUGUGCUCAUACGUACAGUGUAAUGAAGCCACUAGUAGCAUAGUGAAUAAAAUAUGCGCAGAAUAGGAAUCAAUU